Molecule: ribosomal RNA, 253 nt
Filed under: uncultured bacterium
Lineage: Bacteria
Description: partial 16S ribosomal RNA
Rfam family: Bacterial small subunit ribosomal RNA
Source: RNAcentral
UACGUAGGGUGCAAGCGUUGUCCGGAAUUAUUGGGCGUAAAGGGCUCGUAGGCGGUCUGUCACGUCGGGAGUGAAAACUCAGGGCUUAACCCUGAGCCUGCUUCCGAUACGGGCUGACUAGAGGUAUGCAGGGGAGAACGGAAUUCCUGGUGUAGCGGUGAAAUGCGCAGAUAUCAGGAGGAACACCGGUGGCGAAGGCGGUUCUCUGGGCAUUACCUGACGCUGAGGAGCGAAAGCGUGGGGAGCAAACCGG